CCCACAAUGCGCCAACAACCAAUAAAAAAGAAGAAGAGGAUAACAAAGGAAAACAAUAGAAAGCAACACUGCAAAAAACAAAAGACAUCAAGGACAACAAAACUCUAAACAGCAAGAACAACUGGAUGCGUCUGAGUGCAUGUGUGGCACUAUUUACGUGUGUCUAUCAAAUCAAAUGUUAUUUGUCAUAUGCGCCGAAUACAACAGGUACCUAACAGUGAAAUGCUUAUUUACAAGCCCUUAAAAGAACAAUGCAGUUUUAAGAAAAGAGAUGAGAAUAACAAAUAAUUAAAGAGCAGCAAUGAAUAACAAUAGUGGGGGGUUUAUACAGGGGUACCGGUACAGAGUCAAUGUGGAGGCUAUAUACAGGGGGUACCGGUACAGAGUCAACGUGGAGGCUAUAUACAGGGGGUACCGGUACAGAGUCAAUGUGGAGGCUAUAUACAGGGG
This is a long non-coding RNA of Oncorhynchus tshawytscha (Chinook salmon), 450 nucleotides long. NCBI's taxonomy places the organism in Eukaryota, Metazoa, Chordata, Actinopteri, Salmoniformes, Salmonidae. The record is from Ensembl.